Molecule: long non-coding RNA, 653 nt
Organism: Paramacrobiotus metropolitanus
Lineage: Eukaryota; Metazoa; Tardigrada; Eutardigrada; Parachela; Macrobiotidae
Exons: 2
Source: RefSeq, a predicted model, not a curated record
UUAAAAGAUUUCGGUUUAUUGGUAUUACUUGGAUUGAAACCAGCCCAAAUUGUAUUACGCCUGACUUCUGAAUCUAUUCAGUGGUUAUAUAGUAAAAUCGGCAAGAAAUAUGCAGAGUAGCGUCGUCUUCGUACUAGUUGUGGUUCUGAUACUGCAUAUUGCCAUCGAAGAUGCAGAUGCAGCUGUUCUGGAGGAACUGGAAGCGAAGUUAUUCCGUGCGGAGCGUCGUGCCAUACAAGCCCAACAACUAGCAGCAGGUGGCGGGUGUAUGCCACAAUCCUGUAUAAAUCAAGGUUGCUGCUCCGGAAACUGCAAUGGAUGGUGCCGAGACUGUGGUUUUGGAGAAUGCAACCACGGAUAACAGCAACCGUGAUACUCGCGUCAUUCAUGUGUAAAAUAGUACCUGUACAGUGUACAAUAAAAGUGUACAUCAACGACAUCAAACCACAGCGAAGUGUUUAAUAAAUUAAAAUAUUAUGUGUUUAACAAACUAAUAUCUGCACUAAUAAUUUGCAUCUUCGACGUUCCAAACAAAAUCCGUAAGCGCAAAAUUAGUGCAGGGCGACUUUACCGAAAUUAUUCAUUAGAAAGAACAAUGAGCGUUGCAGUUAUUAUUAUUUUAGUUUGGUCUACUCCGGCACAGUAGAAAAACU